AACGAACGCUGGCGGCAUGCUUAACACAUGCAAGUCGCACGGUUGGGGGCAACCCUGGCAGUGGCGGACGGGUGAGUAACGCGUAGGAAUCUAUCCUUGGGUGGGGGACAACCGUGGGAAACUACGGCUAAUACCGCAUGAUCCCUGAGGGGGCAAAGGCGAGAGUCGCCUGAGGAGGAGCCUGCGUCUGAUUAGGUAGUUGGUGGGGUAAAGGCCUACCCAAGCCUACGAUCAGUAGCUGGUCUGAGAGGAUGAUCAGCCACAUUGGGACUGAGACACGGCCCAAACUCCUACGGGAGGCAGCAGUGGGGAAUAUUGGACAAUGGGCGCAAGCCUGAUCCAGCAAUGCCGCGUGGGUGAAGAAGGUCUUCGGAUUGUAAAGCCCUUUUGGCGGGGACGAUGAUGACGGUACCCGCAGAAUAAGCUCCGGCUAACUUCGUG
Molecule: ribosomal RNA, 441 nt
Filed under: uncultured bacterium
Lineage: Bacteria
Description: bacterial SSU rRNA
Rfam family: Bacterial small subunit ribosomal RNA
Source: RNAcentral